This 60-nucleotide transfer RNA is filed under the name Oides maculatus. RNAcentral describes it as "tRNA-His". The record is from RNAcentral. Lineage: Eukaryota; Metazoa; Arthropoda; Insecta; Coleoptera; Chrysomelidae.
AUUUAAAUAGUUUAAUUAAAAUAUUGAUUUGUGGUAUCAAAGAUAUAAUAAGUAUUUUUA